UAUAGUGUUGGGGUUCCACCUUUUUCCAUUCCGAACAGAGAAGUUAAGCCCAAUUACGCCGAUGGUACUGCAGUUUGUGGGAGAGUAGGUCGCCGCCUGUU
RNAcentral lists this ribosomal RNA (101 nucleotides) under Prevotellaceae bacterium. Lineage: Bacteria; Pseudomonadati; Bacteroidota; Bacteroidia; Bacteroidales; Prevotellaceae. The record is from RNAcentral.